Molecule: ribosomal RNA, 253 nt
Filed under: uncultured bacterium
Lineage: Bacteria
Description: partial 16S ribosomal RNA
Rfam family: Bacterial small subunit ribosomal RNA
Source: RNAcentral
UACGGGGGGGGCAAGCGUUGUUCGGAAUUACUGGGCGUAAAGGGCUCGUAGGUGGCCAACUAAGUCAGACGUGAAAUCCCUCGGCUUAACCGGGGAACUGCGUCUGAUACUGGAUGGCUUGAGUUCGGGAGAGGGAUGCGGAAUUCCAGGUGUAGCGGUGAAAUGCGUAGAUAUCGGGAGGAACACCAGUGGCGAAGGCGGUUGCCUGGGGCUUUGCUGACGCUGAGGCGCGAAAGCGUGGGGAGCGAACCGG